This 301-nucleotide ribosomal RNA is filed under the name uncultured bacterium. RNAcentral describes it as "partial 16S ribosomal RNA". It matches the Rfam family "Bacterial small subunit ribosomal RNA", at positions 509 to 807 of the family's 1533-position model. The record is from RNAcentral.
CAGUAGCCACGGGAAUACGUAGGUAGCAAGCGUUAUCCGGAAUUAUUGGGCGUAAAGCGCGCGUAGGUGGUUUUUUAAGUCUGAUGUGAAAGCCCACGGCUCAACCGUGGAGGGUCAUUGGAAACUGGAAAACUUGAGUGCAGAAGAGGAAAGUGGAAUUCCAUGUGUAGCGGUGAAAUGCGCAGAGAUAUGGAGGAACACCAGUGGCGAAGGCGACUUUCUGGUCUGUAACUGACGCUGAUGUGCGAAAGCGUGGGGAUCAAACAGGAUUAGAUACCCGUGUAGUCCCUGUCUCUUAUAC